This 28-nucleotide small RNA is filed under the name Bombyx mori (domestic silkworm). Its description in RNAcentral is "ovarian small RNA-24093". The record is from RNAcentral. Lineage: Eukaryota; Metazoa; Arthropoda; Insecta; Lepidoptera; Bombycidae.
UAUUACGAUUCAGAGGCCAAAGACCGGG